Molecule: ribosomal RNA, 252 nt
Filed under: uncultured bacterium
Lineage: Bacteria
Description: partial 16S ribosomal RNA
Rfam family: Bacterial small subunit ribosomal RNA
Source: RNAcentral
UACGAAGGGGGCUAGCGUUGCUCGGAUUGACUGGGCGUAAAGGGCGCGUAGGCGGUUUGUACAGUCAGACGUGAAAUUCCUGGGCUCAACCUGGGGCUGCGUUUGAUACGUGCAGACUUGAGUUCGGAAGAGGGUCGUGGAAUUCCAGGUGUAGCGGUGAAAUGCGUAGAUAUCUGGAGGAACACCGGUGGCGAAGGCGGCAUCCUGGACCGAUACUGACGCUGAGGAGCGAAAGCCAGGGGAGCAAACGGG